This 726-nucleotide ribosomal RNA is filed under the name Triticum aestivum (bread wheat). Its description in RNAcentral is "partial small subunit ribosomal RNA". Lineage: Eukaryota; Viridiplantae; Streptophyta; Magnoliopsida; Poales; Poaceae. The record is from RNAcentral.
AUGUCAGGCAACCAUCAGCGCUGGCAGCCGUGUGACAGGUCGGGGCAACUUCAAGAGCUGGGAUCUCCAACUGUACAGCGGCAACGGGAGCUUGGGAGGAAUCCGCUGCACCUCCCAGUUGCCCCUGCCUCCUGGGAUCGAGCAACCACAGCUGCCGCCUCUCUGCAGGCCAAGUUCAACAACGGUGGUGGCCAGGUGCACCCCGUGAACAGUUGGGAGGCAUAUGUGGCUAGAACCCCUGCUAUUGAUUUCUCUGCUCUGCAAGGUACGCCUCUUAAAAUCUGCUUAGGGUCGGGAGCGCAGUUGGGUCCGGAUCUUUCCGACAGGAGCACACAGGAGGAUGGGCUCUCUGGAGGGGAUCUUGUCAAUGCCAUUGUAUCACGUGUGUCCUCCCUCCCAUCCGAUCUGCAGCAGCGGUUUGUUGCACGGGUUGCUGCUCUUCUAUCCCCGUCUCUGCUAGGUGUGCCGUCUACAGAGCCAGCAGGAGGGCAGACCAAGAGGAAGCUAUUUGCUUCCAGGACCAAGAUUCCCAAGAGCUCCCGUCAAGCUGUGGCUGGACACUCAUUCAUGACCUCCAGGAAAUCUCAAGCUCAGUUCUGUGUUCGCCUGGGCCUGAUCAAGAACGUUAAGGAGUUCAACGAUGACACCCUGAAGCUGUACCUAAGCUUCUUCAAAAACCCCGUGCCACAGCCUCUCCUCGCCAAGCUUGCUGAAGUUGCCAGAUGA